UGUUGCCUACGGGGCGCAGCAGUGGGGAAUAUUGCACAAUGGGGGAAACCCUGAUGCAGCAACGCCGCGUGAGUGAAGAAGUAUUUCGGUAUGUAAAGCUCUAUCAGCAGGGAAGAGAAUGACGGUACCUGACUAAGAAGCCCCGGCUAACUACGUGCCAGCAGCCGCGGUAAUACGGAGGAUGCGAGCGUUAUCCGGAUUUAUUGGGUUUAAAGGGUGCGCAGGCGGCACGGCAAG
RNAcentral lists this ribosomal RNA (237 nucleotides) under uncultured bacterium. Its description in RNAcentral is "partial 16S ribosomal RNA". It matches the Rfam family "Bacterial small subunit ribosomal RNA", at positions 333 to 587 of the family's 1533-position model. The record is from RNAcentral.